Long non-coding RNA from Cygnus olor (mute swan), 4922 nucleotides. RefSeq lists it as uncharacterized. The record is from RefSeq and is a predicted model, not a curated record. Lineage: Eukaryota; Metazoa; Chordata; Aves; Anseriformes; Anatidae. The transcript has 3 exons.
AAUCGACUGAGCUGCCAAACAUUUUAAGUCUGUUACAGCCUGAAUACUCCCAGGGAUUCAGUUAUUUCUGCUUUUGGUCCACCAGUGGGACAUACUGACCACAGUGGAAAAAGGGAGUUUGAAGAUACUUCUAGGGCACUGACUUGCACCCUGGCAGUGCUGGAUAUUGCUCAUGGAUGCCAUCGUUUUCAGCAGAAAGCUUAAUGAGCCCACCAAAGCUCCUAACAGGGCAAUCGACCCUGGUCGGAACAACGCACAGCACUACUUCGCAACUGAGCUAAGACUUUUGUGGGCUGAAGCUGCGUACUCAAGGGAAGCAGCUGUUAACUGGCUUAUUUAAUGCAAAUGCAAUUCCUGAAGUGACGGUCAUUUAGGCCACAGGUAAGCAAAAUUAGGCUUACUUUCAAUUUAUUGUAAAACGACUUGUAAGAACAUGGUUCUGCAGUAAUGCCCACUAUAUUUAAAACAACUACCCCCUAUUUUUUUAUUAUAGCUAAUUGAAAUUUAAGUACCCAAAUGGAAGGAAACUGAUUACACUUAAGACAAUCUAUUGCCACAGGACUUAAUACUAUUGCCUACAGAAGGCACUACAAACUAGGUAAAAAGAAAACUCCUCUUACAAGAGAGUUUCUAAAAACUGCUGUAGAAAUCUGCUCCUGUUUGCCUGUCAUCUGUUCUUUGGCAUUCAGAAACCCAGAUGCAGGAAAAAAACUACUGCAAUAUGCCUACCUUCUCUAGUUAGAUUAAGUGCACAUGCUACCAUGGUAACCUAAACUUAUUUUCUUACUUUACUCUGUAGGAAUGAAAACUGAUUUAAUUCUCCAGAAGGUUGCCACAGUGAAGACAAGUACAAAAAGCAAUACAUUAUUAAAAGUCAUAAAAGUUAGCUGUUUCUCAUUCUUGUAACUCAAAACCAUGUUCUUCACCAGCGACGUGAAAGAAGACUACCCUUAAUGCAUUGUUUUUAAUAGCCAUGGAACAGCCUUGACUUCCGUUGCAAAGACAAAGACAAGUGGCUAAGCAGACCUUUUCCUCCCAAAAAACAUACCUGCUGUGUAAUUCACACUCUAGUGUUACAGAUCAUCUUUUCCAAACAUGUUUGGAAAAAAAGUCAUCUAUAGUAAGUUUAGAAUAUAAAAAUUGGACUUAACUGGAAAGAAAGAUACAGCUACCAACCCGUGGGGAGUGCUCCACUGUUCUGCCUUUCUAACCAUUUGUAAAGAAUAUAAAGAUGACAAGUUUAUUCGUCUCUGGGUUCUGGUGCAUCAACAUGAUCUCAAAGCGCUAACGUUUAUAAGAAAUUAAAAAACACCCCCACAUUUAAGACAGAGUUUUGUGUUACUUUAAGGGUCAAGAGACUGCUCCAGAAACUGGAAACAGUUACCUCAUGACUGCUGAACAGUCAGAGUAUGCUUUAAAACUUAUUUUGCAUUGUUAUCGUGGGCAUCCUUUUGACACAACAAGUCUAAAGGCGGCCCUAAUGUUUUGCACAUGCCUGAAAUACAGGAAAACAUUCAGUGGUUUGUUAAUGCAAGAUCAAAUGCAAUACGCACGAGUAUACUUUCUUGCUUCAAUGCUUCAGUAAGUAUGUGAAGAUUUUAAGGAAGUGAAGACUUUAAGGAAGAAAAUAUAAAAUUAUGAAUCUGAAGAGCUAAGUCCUAAAAAUAUGUGACUGUGGGGAAAUCUUUCAAUGGAUAAACAAUGAGUCUUCCCCCAAAAAUGCACAUUAGUAAAUGGAACAACAUUCCUUGGCUCAAAUUAACAAAUUUCAUUGUCCGCAGAAAUCCUCCAAGCCCAUGGACUACUUUCAUGGGUUCUGUUGUAAGUUCACAUUUACCAAAAAUAAAUUUGUGUUUCUGUAGGAAAAAAAAAAAAAGGAAAACACAAACUGGAAAAGACUAAAUAUCACUCAAGAGCUUGGCUUUAUCCAGGCUGCAAGCACAAUCGUACUUCUCAUGGCUUAAGUUUGCUAGACAGAAAGAUGACAAGAAUUAUGUUGUGUUUUUUUUUAUAAACCUUUCUUAUUCAGUAGCUCAUUUUUACCUUUUAUAUUUACAUACUAGUUUACAUCAGGAAGAAUAAGAAUUGAUUCCAGGUUUCCUGUUAAAAGGAUCACUUGUCCAACCAUCUGAAACACAGUUACUUCUGGAGCACCAAGUUAAACACAGUUGAAUACUAUUCAGUGAGAAAAUCUCGUAACAUUGACUUCAAAUGCCUGAUGUUAAGUUCAAGGUCAAAAAUUUAGGAGGAUUUGGGAUACUCAUAUCUCCAUAACUUUCAGACCUUGCUGUCUGAUUCUUUUUUUUUUAAAUCUUCAUUCAAAAUGCCAAUGUACAGUAGAUUUUCUGCAUGCACCUACCUUCCUAUACAAAGCCAUUUGCUAUCUGCUCUGAACAGCACAGAAUUCUACACUUACCUCACUACUUUUGCUUUUGGGUUGGCGUGGGAAGAGGAGAGAGAAAUUUCUCAGAUAAUAAAAAUUCACCCUGAUAGCAACCAUAACUUUUCUAACACAGAUCGGUGUUUAUGAUAUUGUCUGUACUGUUCAUGCACAAACAUCUAUUUGGUGGAUUAUUUAGGAAAAAAUGUAAGGUACAAUUAAAUCUUAAUUGACUAAACCCUACAAAAGUAACAUUUCAGAUAUAUCCUAGGUUAUGUAUUGUCAUAGUCUCCCCUCCCAAAAUUAAAAAGACCUGGAAUUCAGUCAAAUGUUUCUAAGCAUCCUCACUAGUUUUCAAAACAGGAUUUGUUAUUUUAAUGGUCUUGUUUUAAAAUACCAUUUCUACAAAAUUCUCUUUUAAGCAGUGUUAUAUUCCUCUUGAGUCAGCAUGUGCCCAAACUCCACAUCCCCUGAAAGCUACAGUAUUCAAACAACUUUAAAGACAUUUAAAAAGAAAUCUUUUUCCUUUGUCAUUCCUUAGUAACAGGGGACUGCUGAGCAAAUCUUAGAUCCCAUUUUUCAUAAGUUCAUGAAAGUAGAGAGGUAGUCAGCAGUCCAGCUUUAAUAAAAGAUCAAAACUAGCUAUGAAAAUGGUAAGAGCUGUUCAAUACUACUCCUAAUCUUAUCUAAGAAUGCAUAGCUAUGCACAGUCUGAAUUUUUGAACAUUAUUAUUGGUUUCUUAUUGAAGUGUUCCUCGACGAGUGAGGACAAUAAACUAAUAAAAGAAAUUUCAAGAAGAAAUUAAAAUGAACCAAAAUAAAAAUUAGACUCUCAGCCAGUUACUAUCUAGCUUAGAAAUAACCGUACUCUUGCAAGACAUGCAUCUGCUCUUUCUAUACAUCACCUCUAGUGUAAAGAGAUAAGCUGUUGGUUUUGAACUGCGUCCUGAGACAAACUGGCUGCCACCACAGCUCAUGUCAUCUCCUCAUCCCCUUCCACAGCCACUGGUGCACACUGGAAAAGAAAACUGAAUGCUGGAAAUACACCAAUGGAAAUGAGGAAAGGGAGUAUUACCCAUCACCCCCAUUUUAAUUUUCAGUCAAAAAGCUACUCCCAUUGCCCUGGCAGCGCAGUAACCAUCUUCUUUAAGCUCUCAGAAGAAUUAUCUGACCAACAGGAAUUGUUAGAGGCGUUUCCAUUUCAGCUGUCACCAGAAGAUGCUACUAACCAGCACACAGCAAAAAAAAAUAAAUAUCAAGUUGCUCGAGUCUAAUUGUCUUAGUAAAGUUUUCCAAAUCCAGAUCUCUGAAAGAGCAGAAUAAUUGAAGACAUAACGUUUCUUAAGCAAUGGUCUAACACUUGGUUCCUUAAUUGACACUAUCAUUGUGACAUCUCCCAGGACGUGGCCACUUCUCCAAAAACAAUGAGCCCCACUGGGACAGAUCUCACAGGAUGUGACUCGAAGCUAUGUCUCAGGCCCCAAAUUCUCCAAGUCUGCUCAGCAAUAGCUGAAACAUAGCAAAUGAGACUAUACUUUUCUGGAGUCAGAUCAGCUUGGAAGCAGACAGCUGAGUACAGCGCAUGCUUACCCAGUGCACAGAAAAAGCUCAGUCAUUAUUUGAAAUUAUCUCUACAAAACAAACAACUGAAGUCUUAAUAAGUAUAAUCUGGACUGUUUCUAUCAAACUACAAUUUGUAGCUGACCUUCAACAGUUGAGUAAUUUUUAAUUCAUCUAUAUAUAGCUACAGUAAAAUGCUCCAAAAAGGGGUUUACGGCAGUCAGACUCAGAACAAGGCCCCAACAGUAAAAUUUUUCCUUCCGCUUCAUCUGCAAUCCAGGAGGAGGUUGUGAAGACUUAGGAGCGGUGCUACUGACAGCCAUGAGCAGAGUGUGGGGAUGCUUUCCCAAACGCAGCCAACAGGCACUUCUCUUUGUUACUCAGGCAGUUGCACUGGUCAGUGAGGAAAUCCAUUGGGCAGACAGCUGACAAACUGUUGUCCUUUCUGAGUGACAUUCAGGCACGUGCCAGAUUAAACAGUUUCACUGCUGCACAAUCACCUUAAAGCACUAAUGCUAACACGUUAAAGGAAAAUUUAAAAUACACAAAUCCAAGUAAACUUUAUACAGUUUCAUGCAUGUGAAGAGUCUGAUUUGCUAAUCUUGUCAAAAGAACUGUAAGUGAGUGGCGAUCCUCAGUUUGGAGCAUCCCAGUGGAGAUACGAUUUUUCAGACAAAAGGCACCGCUACCCUCCCCGUCCCAAUUCAAUGGCUCACAAUAAAAAGACGAAAAUCAAAGCACUCAAACUCUGUCACUUGUGACUGUUUGUUGUCACUAUUGAUUGUUGUUGUUGUUUUGUGGGUUUUGUUGGGUUUCCUUUUGAAAAUAAUUCAAACACUUAUCGAGUUAAGAAGCAGAAUAACAAGUUUCACUCUAAUGCAAACUUUAUAGUUAUAGAUUUCCCACAGGUCAGCAGACUUGACAGACUCAAAGUGUCAGAAAAUCAUUCAAAACUGUCAAGUAGUAUGGUGCACAUUUUUUC